RNAcentral lists this ribosomal RNA (253 nucleotides) under uncultured bacterium. Its description in RNAcentral is "partial 16S ribosomal RNA". It matches the Rfam family "Bacterial small subunit ribosomal RNA", at positions 524 to 776 of the family's 1533-position model. The record is from RNAcentral.
UACGUAGGGGGCAAGCGUUGUCCGGAUUUAUUGGGCGUAAAGAGCGUGUAGGCGGUUAGGUAGGUCCGUUGUGAAAACUCGAGGCUCAACCUCGAGACGCCGAUGGAAACCAUCUAACUAGAGUCCGGAAGAGGAGAGUGGAAUUCCUGGUGUAGCGGUGAAAUGCGCAGAUAUCAGGAAGAACACCCGUGGCUAAGGCGGCUCUCUAGUACGGUACUGACGCUGAGGCGCGAAAGCGUGGGGAGCAAACAGG